UUCUUUUUUAUGGAAUGCAAUGCCUUGAAAA
Molecule: non-coding RNA, 31 nt
Filed under: Rattus norvegicus (Norway rat)
Lineage: Eukaryota; Metazoa; Chordata; Mammalia; Rodentia; Muridae
Source: RNAcentral